AGAGUUUGAUCCUGGCUCAGAACGAACGCUGGCGGCGUGCUUAACACAUGCAAGUCGAGUGCGCGCCUGUAGCAAUACAGGUGGCGCACGGCGCACGGGUGCGUAACACGUGGGUAAUCUGCCCUCUGAUGGGGAAUAACCCGCCGAAAGGCGGGCUAAUACCGCAUAACAUUCCUUGGAUUUCGGUCCGAGGACUCAAAGGCGUAAGUCGUCGGAGGAGGAGCCCGCGCCCGAUUAGCUAGUUGGUAGGGUAAUGGCCUACCAAGGCUUUGAUCGGUAGCUGGUCUGAGAGGAUGGCCAGCCACACUGGAACUGAGACACGGUCCAGACUCCUACGGGAGGCAGCAGUGGGGAAUCUUGCACAAUGGGCGAAAGCCUGAUGCAGCGACGCCGCGUGGGGGAUGAAGCAUUUCGGUGUGUAAACCCCUUUCGAUCCGGACGAAUACCUCGCAAGAGGGGUGACGGUACGGAUAUAAGAAGCCCCGGCUAACUACGUGCCAGCAGCCGCGGUAAGACGUA
This 519-nucleotide ribosomal RNA is filed under the name uncultured bacterium. Its description in RNAcentral is "bacterial SSU rRNA". It matches the Rfam family "Bacterial small subunit ribosomal RNA", at positions 8 to 529 of the family's 1533-position model. The record is from RNAcentral.